UACGGAGGGUGCGAGCGUUAAUCGGAAUUACUGGGCGUAAAGCGCGCGUAGGCGGCUUGAUAAGUUGGAUGUGAAAUCCUCGGGCUUAACCUGAGAACUGCAUCCAAUAUUGGGUAGCUAGAGUUUGAGAGAGGUGGGUGGAAUUUCCGGUGUAGCAGUGAAAUGCGUAGAGAUCGGAAGGAACACCAGUGGCGAAGGCGGCCCACUGGCUCAAAACUGACGCUGAGACGCGAAAGCGUGGGGAGCAAACAGG
Molecule: ribosomal RNA, 253 nt
Filed under: uncultured bacterium
Lineage: Bacteria
Description: partial 16S ribosomal RNA
Rfam family: Bacterial small subunit ribosomal RNA
Source: RNAcentral